This 253-nucleotide ribosomal RNA is filed under the name uncultured bacterium. RNAcentral describes it as "partial 16S ribosomal RNA". It matches the Rfam family "Bacterial small subunit ribosomal RNA", at positions 524 to 776 of the family's 1533-position model. The record is from RNAcentral.
UACGUAGGUGGCAAGCGUUGUCCGGAUUUACUGGGCGUAAAGAGCGCGCAGGCGGUCGUUCAAGUCGCGUGUGAAAGCCCCCGGCUCAACUGGGGAGGGUCACGCGAUACUGAUCGACUCGAAGGCAGGAGAGGGAAGUGGAAUUCCCGGUGUAGUGGUGAAAUGCGUAGAUAUCGGGAGGAACACCAGUGGCGAAGGCGACUUCCUGGCCUGUUCUUGACGCUGAGGCGCGAAAGCAUGGGGAGCAAACAGG